GACGAACGCUGGCGGCGUGCUUAACACAUGCAAGUCGAACGGAAAGGCCCUGCUUUUGUGGUGUGCUCGAGUGGCGAACGGGUGAGUAACACGUGAGUAACCUGCCCUGUACUUUGGGAUAACUUCAGGAAACUGUGGCUAAUACCGGAUAGGAGCUCCUGCUGCAUGGUGUGGGUUGGAAAGUUUCGGCGGUUGGGGAUGGACUCGCGGCUUAUCAGCUUGUUGGUGGGGUAGUGGCUUACCAAGGCUUUGACGGGUAGCCGGCCUGAGAGGGUGACAGGCCACAUUGGGACUGAGAUACGGCCCAGACUCAUACGGGAGGCAGGAGUGGGGAAUAUUGCACACUGGGCGGCAGCAUGAUGCAGCAACGCCGCGUGCGGGAUGACGGCCUUCGGGUUGUAAAGCGCUUUCGCCUGUGACGAAGAGUGAGUGGCGGUAAUGGGUAAAGAAGCACCGGCUAACUACGUG
RNAcentral lists this ribosomal RNA (468 nucleotides) under uncultured bacterium. Its description in RNAcentral is "partial 16S ribosomal RNA". It matches the Rfam family "Bacterial small subunit ribosomal RNA", at positions 28 to 507 of the family's 1533-position model. The record is from RNAcentral.